Molecule: long non-coding RNA, 84 nt
Organism: Myotis brandtii (Brandt's bat)
Lineage: Eukaryota; Metazoa; Chordata; Mammalia; Chiroptera; Vespertilionidae
Exons: 3
Source: RefSeq, a predicted model, not a curated record
GGAAGAAAAAAGUCACAGAAGUACAGAGAGUACAAAUAAGGUGAACCCAAAAAGGCCCCCACCAGGACACAUCAUAAUUAAAAU